AGGAUUAACGCUGGCGGCGUGCCUAAUACAUGCAAGUCGAAUGGUAGUAAGCAAUACAAACCAUGGCGAACGGGUGAGUAACACGUAGGCAACCUGACUUUAAGACGAGGAUAACCGUGGAAACGACGGAUAAUACUGGAUAGGACAUCACAAAGGGCAUCCUUAGAUGUUUAAAGGUUAUUAUGCCACUUAGAGAGGGGCCUGCGGCGCAUUAGCUAGUUGGUGAGAUAACAGCCCACCAAGGCGAUGAUGCGUAGCCGGACUGAGAGGUUGAACGGCCACAAUGGAACUGAGAACGGUCCAUACUCCUACGGGAGGCAGCAGUGGGGAAUUUUCGGCAAUGGGCGCAAGCCUGAACCCGAGCAACGCCGCGUGAACGAAGAAGUUAUUCGUAAUGUAAAGUUCUUUUAUCUGGGAAGAAAAAACAAAUUGACGGUACCAGAUGAAUAAGCUCCGGCUAACUACGUGCCAGCCGCAGC
RNAcentral lists this ribosomal RNA (479 nucleotides) under uncultured bacterium. RNAcentral describes it as "bacterial SSU rRNA". It matches the Rfam family "Bacterial small subunit ribosomal RNA", at positions 26 to 518 of the family's 1533-position model. The record is from RNAcentral.